This 296-nucleotide long non-coding RNA is filed under the name Sorghum bicolor (sorghum). RNAcentral's name for it is "long non-coding RNA (SBIC_LNC014766)". Lineage: Eukaryota; Viridiplantae; Streptophyta; Magnoliopsida; Poales; Poaceae. The record is from RNAcentral.
GGCAUACUUAAAUAGUUUAGGAACCUAGAUGUGUAAUUUUAUAGUUUAGGGACUUAGAUGAAAAUUGUGCAAUAGUUUGGGGAUCACUAGUGUAAUUACUCAGUACUCUUUCCGUCCUGUAAUCUCUCCUACUUAAAACAUGUAUCCAGGACCCGUCUACCAAACUCUCAUGGUGAAGCCUCCUCAGCCCGCGCCUCACUCCUUGCCCCUCCCCAAUCAGAGCCUCUAUCCUCCACUCAUGCCUGCCCUCCAAUCCUCCCCACGCAUCCAGACUCCAUCCCCUCCUCUCCCCACGC